Odontomachus brunneus is the source of this 3455-nucleotide long non-coding RNA. RefSeq lists it as uncharacterized. The transcript has 2 exons. NCBI's taxonomy places the organism in Eukaryota, Metazoa, Arthropoda, Insecta, Hymenoptera, Formicidae. The record is from RefSeq and is a predicted model, not a curated record.
AAGGUGGUCUUUAUUUUUCGAUUUUCAAAUUUUUUCUGCGGCACCCUCCAAAAAGUUUCCAUUUGACAAAAAAGAAAUCCCUUCCAAACUUUUGCUCGAUCGGAUAACGAGAACUCAUGCUCCCGGGUCGUUAAACAUUGGAAUACUCUUGUAUUAAGCUGUCUACUUUAUCAAAAUGGUUUCUAAAGCAUGUUCUUCACAAAAAUUGCCCUAGAGGACUUUUCUUUUUUCUUUCCACAUCAUUUGAGAUAUUACAGUUUUAUUUGAACAAUUAGAUAAAUUGUGUAUGACUAAAAAAUAAAAAUAAAUAGUUAUUGCAUUUAUUGUUUGAGCUACAACAAAUCAUGUAUGAACUACAAAAGUUGCAAUAUUAUGUUUAUAGGACAAUAUAAGUGUAAAACAUGUUACCUUUUAUGUUUUUAUUCAUAAAGAAAUUUUUUAAAUUAAAUAUUACAUAAUAAUUAAUAACCUCAUGGCUCGUAAUCUUAUGCUGGGAGAUAUAUAAUACCUAGGCCGCGGGUUUUCCCAUUGUCUGUACGCGUCAAACAAUAUAAAGAAACAGCAUUCUUUUGGUAAAAAGUCUGUCUUUUUCUAACGAAGGCUAUUUUAUUUCCACUACUUAUCGUGGUCUUGUGGCGGGAAUAAAGCAGGCUUCGUUAGAAAGAAACAGAUUUUUUACCGAAAGAAUGCUAUUUCUUUAUAUUGUUUGACGCGUUCAGACAAUAGGAAACGUUGCGAAUCCGCAGCCUAGGUAUUAUAUAGUUUGUUUAAUAAAAGCGUGUCCCGCAAAAUUUUUACGUAUAAACGGGUAGAUGGAAAAUUCAAACAGGAGCCGGUAGGCACCUUUCGCCUAGGAUGCUUUAUUGAUAAAGCUUUAGUUGUUAUUCGAUCUUCGUGAUAAAAAUAUAUAUUUCGCUAUGAAUGUCAAAUAUACAUCGUGUUUCGAAGUCGUAUUUCUUUGUACACAUUCGAAAGGAUCAAAAAUGUCAUGCCAAGCGGCUGCUAAGUACAUGAGAAAGUCAAAAACAUUUGUAAAUAAGUAGGUCGCUACUUAGAGGUGAAAAAUGUCGAUAACUUACCGAAACGUAGCUUUACGCAAGAAUUUGGCAUUUUGCAUAUCUUCACAAACUGCUUAAACUAGCAAAAUGGUCAAAAUUUAUGAGAAGGCUUUAUUACUAUCUGCUUAAACAUGGUUUAUAAGGAAAAACGAAAAAUGGAUACUACAAGAGGACAAUGACCCUAAACAUCAAAGUCGGCUUUGUACCGCGUAAAUAAGAAAAUAAUGUUAAAUUAUACUACUUGUCUCGCUCUCGAUGAUAGUAUAACAAGUAUAGUUGUCUCUGUUCUCUCGGUAUUUCACAACGUUCAGCAUGUAGAAAAGAGAUGGCUCUCCUAGCGACCUCUCUGUAGGGCCCUCGCUUCUCUACGCCAUCUACGAUCAUAUUAGGCCUGUUCUUUGUAGCUGCACUACUGAACUAGUGCAAUAAGUUAGAGUGAGAAAACGUAUAUUUGUUUCACUUCAAUAUAUUGCACCAGUUCAGCAGUGCAACUACAAAGAACAGGCCUAUUGUUUUGUUGUGCUUGGUACAUCGGACGUUCUUGUGUAGCUAGUCCUUAAAUAUCAAUAAAAAUUGAUAAAAGUAGGUUUUAUUCGGAGAGGUCGAAGGCAAAGAAAAGAAAGCAUUCAAGGUCAGAGUCAAGAGAUAGGAAGAGGAAGAGUAAUGGGACUGAUGAGAAACUUCAAAAGAUGCAAGAGCAACUGAAUAACCUCACUUCGAUUGUUACGACAUUAGUACAAGCGGGAGAAGUGCCCAGAGCUUUGGGACAAGAAAAUAGUCAGAUACUCGAUAAAAAUCGAGCGGACGCUCUGAUGAUAGAAGAGAAUAAAGAGAAUGGGUUAACACCUAAUAUUAACACAGAUUAUCAGGAUCUGACUGGAAAAGAAAUUGUAAUGGAGGAAGUUCUAAAAUUUUAGGUGAGGAUGAGAAUUCUGCAAAAUUAAUAGAAGUAAAAAUUCAUCCUGAGUUGAACCAGAGAUUGCGGUUAAAAGAGAUCAACAUUUUGUUGAGACACAGAGUUGUGUCGGAUCGGCGAUUUCAACUUUAGCAGCUGCAGUAUCUAUGUUGCUAGAUGUUCAAGAGGAAGGCAUAAACCAAGAGAAAUUCACAAAAUACCUGUGUGAUACAGGUCAAUUGUUAACGGAGAUAUAUCAUCAACAGUCGCUAACACGGAAGGCGUUCAUUACAUCUUUAAUGAACAAGACGGUUAAACCGACUUUGGAGGCGACAAAAGCAGAUCAAUGGUUAUAUGGUGAGAAGUUUGGCGAACAAGUUAAAGAAGCAAAGUCUUUGGAAAAAGCUUGUGCUGCCAUUAGAGUUCCGGAGAAAAAUACGAGUUUUACGAAACAUCAAAAAGCAUGGAGUCAGGGAAAUGUGAGGGGCCCACCUGUCAGACGGCAGGUGGGCUAUCAGCGAUAUCAACAGGGACUCUACUAGCGAAAGAAUGUUAGGUAAAAUUAUAGAAAAAUGUACAAAGGUUAAUGGACAGUUUAUUUCACCAUAUUUUCUGGUUAAAAAACCAGAUGGAUCAAAUAGAUUCAUUUUAAAUCUUAAGAAUUUAAAUCAAUUCAUUGACACUGUCCAUUUUAAGAUGGAAGACAUUAGGACAGUUAAAAGUUUGUUAACGCAAGGAGCCUAUAUGGGGGUAAUAGAUUUAAAAGAUGCUUACCAUGUAAUUCCUAUACACGAAGAUCAUAGGAAAUUUCUUCGUUUUAAGUUUUUGGAUAGAUUAUAUCAAUUUACUUGCUUAUCUUUCGGACUCUGUACCAGCCCGUAUGUAUUUACAAAAUUGAUGAAGCCAGUUGUUAACUAUUUAAGACAGCAAGGAAUAGUUUCAGUAAUAUAUUUAGAUGAUAUAAUUUUUAUACACGAGGUUGAGGAAGUCUGUCGAGCAAAUAAUAAGGCACUAGAACUAUUAAAACGUUUAGGAUUCAUUAUAAAUUAUCAGAAAAGCUCGUUACAACCUCGAACAGAAUGUAACUAUCUAGGUUUUAAUAUUAAUUCAGAGGUGUUUUCCUUAGGAUUAACAGCAAAAAAAGAGACUGCAGAUUACCAGUUUAUUGAAUCAGUUUCAAGAAGGGAAGUGGUACAGAAUUCGAGAAAUAGCAAGAUUAUUAGGCGUUUUAACGGCAGCUAGCCCGGCAAUAGCGUAUAGUAAAGUGUAUACAAAAGAGUUAGAGAGAGAAAAAGCUCUAGCAUUAUUAAUUAAUAAUCAAAAUUUUGAAGGCCGGCUGUACAUGAAAAAACAAUAGCAUACGUUAACAAGGCAGAGGGGGAAUAAAAUUUCCUCACCUUAGCAAGCUAGCGCGUAGAAUAUGGCAGUGGUGCGAAACGAGAAAAUUGUGGAUUAUGGCGUCGUAUAUUCCAUCAAGCAAAAAUAUAGAGGCAGAUAUAGCA